GCAAACUUGGUCAUUUAGAGGAAGUAAAAGUCGUAACAAGGUCUCCGUUGGUGAACCAGCGGAGGGAUCAUUAGAGAGUCUAAACAACUCCCAAACCCACUGUGAACAUACCCCACGUUGCCUCGGCAGGCGCCCGGCUCCGCGACCCCUCGGGGCUGCGGGGUGGCCCUGCCGGCGGCCCACGAAACUCUUGUCUAGCACUGAAUUCUGAGCCCGAGAGGGAUAAAAACAAAAUUAGUUAAAACUUUCAACAACGGAUCUCUUGGUUCUGGCAUCGAUGAAGAACGCAGC
RNAcentral lists this unclassified non-coding RNA (291 nucleotides) under uncultured fungus. RNAcentral describes it as "partial contains small subunit ribosomal RNA, internal transcribed spacer 1, and 5.8S ribosomal RNA". The stretch from base 1 to 73 matches the Rfam family "Eukaryotic small subunit ribosomal RNA", at positions 1759 to 1831 of the family's 1831-position model. The record is from RNAcentral. Lineage: Eukaryota; Fungi.